This 631-nucleotide long non-coding RNA is filed under the name Sorghum bicolor (sorghum). Its description in RNAcentral is "long non-coding RNA (SBIC_LNC006268)". The record is from RNAcentral. Lineage: Eukaryota; Viridiplantae; Streptophyta; Magnoliopsida; Poales; Poaceae.
GGAAUUGCUCCGGUACUCCACUUUUCAAAAUUACACAAAUCUUAAAGCAACUCAUCUAACUAAUUAUAUAUUUUCCUAAUUGUUUUCCACUUGGGUCAUGCAUGGGACUAGUCCGUUGGAGCCCAGCCCAUGUCCAGCCCAAACUCACCUCUCAUCUCUCAGUCCGUUUUGUUCCGUCACGGUUUCUCGAUUGUUUCCUCACAGCCAGCGAAGGUCCUCUCCAAGGAUGUCCUCACUACAUGCGCAGGGGAUGAAUGGUGUCGUUCGAACCAAAUUCAGUCCAAGCUCCAUUGAUCCCCUUUGUUCGGAUCUUGCUCCACCAUGUGCCAGAAGCCAGGGGCGGACAAACGAGCACCGCUGGUUUUUUGGCCUCCCAUCGACGGCGCGACCGCAAGCGCACAACAAAACUUCUUGGUUUGAGCCACGAUGACGCCGUUAUCUGCAUCUGUCUCCAUGAACGAGAAAACAAAACAAAGCGAGCGAUAUGUCUUUGGGUCUGGGCUGGGUAUCGAUGGGAUAGGCCCAUGCGGGAUGCAAGAGAAAGUUAAUAAUUAAGAAAAAAUUAACUAGUUAAAUGUGCUGCUUUAGGAUCCGUGUAAUUUGUAGAAAGAGGAGUGUUGGAGCAGUUCCC